RNAcentral lists this transfer RNA (75 nucleotides) under Mus musculus (house mouse). Its description in RNAcentral is "tRNA-Ser". The record is from RNAcentral. Lineage: Eukaryota; Metazoa; Chordata; Mammalia; Rodentia; Muridae.
GGCUGGAGAGAUGGCUCAAUGGUUAAGAGCACUGACUGCUCUUCCAGAGGUCCUGAGUUCAAUUCCCAGCAACCA